GCCGCGCAGGCGCACCCGCGCCACCGGGCAGCUCGGGGCUCGUAGUCCUGCCCGUGGCCGCGGCCCCACAGCCCUCGCUGCUCCCCUAUCCCGUGGAGCCGGGGGCCGUGGAGGGCCGAGAACUACGGCUCCCAGCAGGGCCGGCGGAGAUGAACAGAACAAGCACAUGGAGUUCCAGAUGCUGAUCCUCGGAGAAUCCACGUGUGACAGAAAGGAUGGAUAAUCUUUUGGCUCAGUUCCAACCUGGUGGAGCCAGCAUGUGGUUGUUUUCAGGCUGAUGUACAGAAAGGGUAUAGCAUUUAUUCUGCCAGGGCAUUACAUGCAAUGUUUUAUUCCACUUAUAUCUGUGGCAACAAUCUUACUGCCUUCUUUCUUACACACAUGACUCUGCAAGCAGAUCACGCCUAUAAAAUACUUGGGUUUGAAGUCAGAAAUUAACCUGUUAGUGCUGGGAUUUGUUAAACAAAGUUAGGCUCUGAUCACAAAAAUACCACCUUCAGUUCAAUUAUUUAAGCAGGUGUAGAGCACCUAAGUACCCUGGUAGGCCCAGCUGGUUAGGAUUCUGAAAAACAGCUGAAUGAUAAUAAUCAAGUAGUACUCCAGUGGCUGCAGCCCACCAAGUUAAAAAAUUUAAUUUAGAAACCAAGGUAAAUCAAUGUAUUUUCUUGGUUAAAGGCAAACUCCAGUCUUAAAUUAUGCAUUGAACUUAAGUAAGAUAUAUGUGGCCUUAUAGUAUUCUUACAUAUUAUCAUAGAACCAUUAUAGAAUCAUAGAAUAGUUUGGGUUGGAAGGGACCUUAAAGUUCAUCUAGUUCCAAUCCCCCUGCCGUGGGCAGGGACACCUUCUGCGAGACCGGGUUGCUGAAGGCCCCGUCCAGCCUGGCCUUGAACACUGCCAGGGAUGGAGCAGCCACAACUUCUCUGGGCAACUUGUUCCAGUGCCUCACCACCCUCACAUGAAUCAGAAAUACUGUACAGCAAUCAGAAAUACCGAUGAUGUGGGCAUGUGAUGGCCCAGUAGACGAUGAAAUACUGAAUAUUGUAAACAAAGAUUGGUGACUUGAAACUCUCUUCCUAAACCUAUUUCCCUCCCUCUAUAAAUGAGUUUAGAGCACAGAAUGCAAAUUUAGGUCAUGGUGUUACUGCUUCCUCUUCGUGGAGAAGGUUGUUCAUUUGAGUUCUGAUUUUGAGUUCCACCUGAAGCUACAAGGCAUUGUAGCCUUCAGCUGUUUCACAGUCACACCCCAGUGUUUCAUGUAAUUUCUCUCUCCAGUGCCUAUGUUGGGAGCACAGGGUGAAGAUCAGGUGAGUGCUUUUAUACCUUGCAGGAUCAGGUCUGCCUGGUAGGAUGCUUAGGAUGAGGGAGCAGACAUCUUGAGGUGAGAGGUACAGUCUUUAAUGGCCUGUGAGCCUUUCUGUUUUGGAGUGAACUGCUGAGGACACCAACAGUCUCACCGCUGCUGCGUUGAUUGGCAAGUUGAAUUUUGUCAGAAGCCAAGGGCUUUGGAAGGCUCCAUGUUCAGUGUGCUCUUCUAUUGAGGCUGCUUCUGCAGGGACAGUCAAUUUAAUUAUGGAGGCCUGAUCCUGGAUGUGAGGAAGAAGAUGUUUACCAGCAUGGUUAGAAACUGCCCUCCCUUCACACAAUUCCUUCUCAGCAUGUGGUUUGCAAGAAGGCAUCUCUGGCCGGAACCGCUUGUGUGGUGUCACUCUUAGCUGUUGCAGCUGUGGAGCUUCAAGACACUUUCUUGAAGUUAUAUGAAGCGGUGACAGAAAAUAGAGAAGGAGAAAUCCCCUAAUGGUUGUGGAAAGAGUUACUACUUGACUUUUCUAAGUUUAUCAUGUGUAUUUAAUGCUUUCUAAAGAUAAUCUGCAUGUAUAAUUUGGAAAAAAUAUGACCUUUGUGUCUAAAACUUAAAAAUAUAUUCAAGAAUAUUGUUGAAGUGUCCACAGUCCUGGGUGCUCAGAUACAGGCAGGAAGGUAAAAAAAAAAAUUUUUGGUAAUUACUGACAUGAAAGAAACGUACAGUUCAAUUUGCAAAUGUAAUUCUGAGUCCACAAAAAGCUGUAUUAUUGCUCUGCCUUGUUACUGGCAUAAUUUUCAAAAUAAAACAUCAACAGGAAUGCGUAUGGAUACUACGUUAUGAAGAAUGUGAUUAGAAAUAAAUGGGAAUCAUUGAUCCAUCAAUAAAAGGGAAUCUUACAAUGUAUGGGACACUACAGUUUGGACCAUCACUUUUAGUUUUUCAGCUGAGAGCAGAAAAGAUGUGGUAAAGUUUACUUGCAAUUUCUUCCCUGCAUAUCUUUAUCUCUAGUUUUAUUAAAAUAAUUUGCUAUUUGAUAGUCCAUGUAAGUGCAUUCAAAAGCAUUAAAAUGCGUAAAGUCAUCAUGUUAUUGAUAUAAAUUAAUUAAUUUAAAUGUUAAUUUAAAUGCUGACCCUACCUGUGGGGAAAGUUGAAAUCUGUUUCCUGGGAUAGUUAGUACAGAAUGAAAGUUGUACUUGGCUGUAAUCCUGAUGCCUUAUUAGCAUGAGGGGUUUGUCUCCUCCCUGGCAGGUCCUGGCUAGUGGUGAAGUGGAGCACCCGGAGUCGGUCCUGCUGUGGCGGCAGUCCUGGGUAUUGAUGCUGGGUCACACCUGGCUGUGGCUCCAGGCAUGCUGGGAAGGAGAUGCCUGCAGUGUGCUGCCACUGGCACUGGGCAACUUCCUGGAGUCGGAGCAUGGCCCUCUCCAACGUUUUGAAACCACUUCCCUGUAGGUCCUUUGGAUUCUGUCACUGGCUGCCAGACCCGUAAGGCCCCGCUGUCCUCGGUUACAUCAGUGCCAAACUGCACUUGUUUGGUUUUUUAAUUUCUGUUACUUUUCUGUUAAUUUUCUGUUACUUUUCCAUCAGAGAAUCCCGAGGGUCCCAUUUGGUUGCUCAGUGAAAGAACAGAGGGUGGGAGAAAGCUUGCAAGGUCACCUCUGUUUGGAAGCAGCUCCCUUAGUAUUCAGCCUUCCUCUUAGCAGCUGGCUUUCAAAUGGCAAGGGAAGGUUUUGCUGAUAUGAUGCAGGGGAAGGACCUGGUUAGCGUAUGAAGACUCUACAGAGUGCUCAUUGGGCGCUGGUGAGGAAAGCUGCUCCUUUGCGGGGAAAGCCUUAUGUUUCUCUGUGCAUGUCUGUUACUGCUGACUUCAGUGCCAUGUUUACUUUUGCCUGCUCUGAGAUAGGUGUGGUAUACAAGUACUUUUGUACUAGGGUAGUGUGCAGUUCUGCUCAGUUGGACUCAGAGUUGCAAGUAGAUAGUUGACUAACUAUGGGGUCCCAGAGAACGUGAGGUGUGGGAUCUACCACUGCUUGUGCUAUGCUAAGUAGUGAUCAUACACCAAUUUUUAGGCAACCUUACUAGCAAGGCCUAAAGUAAUUCUGUGUCUGUGGCUUAAAGACUUACUGCUGUGCAGCUGAGUCACUGUAACCUGCUUGGUGCUCACUCAUAGCCUUCCCUCACUGCCAAAAAUGCUUUAGCACUGACUGUCUUUAAGCUAAGCCUUUCUUUUUCGCAGUCACGAGUGAGGACUGGGUAUGGUAGUCAUACAGGUGAUAAGCAGUAACGCAUGAAGCUAUAGUAACUUGAUUGCCUUUGGUUAUACAUGUAACAUUAUUUUAGGAAUCUCUUUUCAGCAAGAGAGAGAACUACUUCCUUUUUUAAUGAUUUGGGAUCAAAUUUAUCCCAGUGGGAAUCUGUACAGAGCUAAUCAAUAGUGCUAAAUUUAAGAAGGAAGGAAUAGUCAAGGAAUAUUUUUCUAUUUCAAAUAAAUAAUAGAUACAUUUUUUUCAUGUGAAAGUCUUGGUGUUCAGCAAAAAAAGAUGAACAGUAAAAUUUAGUGGGUAAGGUAUUUAGUGGGACAGGAAAAUGUCAGUGUGUUCAGGUGUCUGUAGGUUAAUCAGUAAAUCCAGUAAAAUCCUCUGUCCCUUAGGUAAAGGGUCUGUAUUAAACUCCAGGCCUCCAGGAGGAGGAAGGAAGUUUUAGGCAAGUGUUUGAACAAGGGAGGUGGACUGAGGGAAGCAGAAGAGAAAGGCCAGGACCUGCAGGACUGUUACAGCAGCCCACACACACAGCAGUAUUGAUCUCUCUGUGAGUUGUGGUUAUCAACCAGGAUUUGACUACUUCUGAGACAAACAUACUAAAUACAAGAACAUCAAAUCAGAAAAUGUUGACGAUUAGUCAGUAGAGAAAAAUGGUGAGGAAAAAAGGAAGGAAGAGAUGCCAGUAUGGGUGAAAUGUUGGUGGGUGAGGUCAGGGGGAUGUUCCAGAGAAGCAGCACACAGAGGUGAAUUGGUGUUUGAAUGUGCAGGGAAUGAAACAAGGAGGAACAGGGCAGUUUGACUCCACGACGUACAGCUGUGGAUGAGCAACUGUUAAAGGGAACAUACGAACGCAUUUGGAAGAUCAGUGUUAUGUGUAAGCUAGGUUUUGAAGGGUAGAUUAAAAAUGAAAUAAUUUUAAUGGUGUGUUUGAGGACAAAAUGAAAAGUCACAAGUUUGGAAAUGGCAAUGCUUACCAGAGCUAUAAACAUGACCUUUGCUGGUUGUGCUCUAGCACUCGGAGUAUUUAUAUGACCACAUGUUCUUUAUCAGUCAAUAAUGCAGUUGUCAGUAACACUGCUUCUGCACUAUGCUGCAGUGUGCAUAGGUGCAUCUUCAGAUGAGUGAGGAAAAAUCCCUCAAAUUACCAAGGCAUAAAAGGAAAUUAGUUCAGAUAUUUAGUAUCUAGAUUUAAAUUCUGCAUUUUGCAGCAUGAUGGCAAGCAUGGCAGAUUUGUCUUGGAAAAUUAGGAUGCAUUCCAGCAGAAACUGAUGCAGAGACUCAGCUUUUUCCUGAAAAAUAGCUUCCGCUAUUCCCUGUAGCUAAGCAUUUAGAGCUUGCAGGAUCAGGGCCUAACAAGCCACACCUAUUUCUUACUGUUUUUUUUUUUUUUUUGGGUGGAGGUGGGGGUAGUGGGGUAUUUUAGUUUUGUCAUUUUUUUGUUUGUGGGGUUUGUUUGGUUUGGUUUGGUUUUGGUGGGAUUUUUUUGUUUUUGUCCUAGAAAACAGAACUCUCCAUGUUAAAAUGAUUGGAAAUUGAACUUAGAGGGAUCUAGCAUGUGAUUACUUUUUUUAGACAGGAUUUUCUUCAUAGCUGAAUUGGACUGAGGUUUUUUUUUCUUUCCUUCCAAACCAGAUGGUAAGUGAUUCAGUACUUUUAGCAGUAGAAAAAUGAUUUGUUUUCUUUCCUCAGUAGUUGGUGUGAAUGUACUUUUCUUUAUCUAUUUACAUAUUAUGUAAACACACUUUAACAGCAUAUAUGUACAUAGUGUACAGUCCUAAUCCUGCAGAGAGCCCUGUAUAGGCAAGGCCUUGCACAUAGGAGGAAUUGACAUUGCUUUCAGAGAGCUGUUUGCAUGGAACUCCUGGCAGGAUUAUCACUGUAUUUGGAUUUUUAUGUGUACACUUAAAUAUAUGACACUGUAUGAGGAUGCCAACAGAACUCUUAAGUCCACAAAAUGUUUGAGUAACCUUGUGCACUUUUUUCGCCUAACAAAGUCUCUGGGGAUGCCCUUGAUCUCUUCUGUUGUCUUCCUGUGGUAAGCUGUAGCCCUGGUGACUGUUGAAUUAAAGGCAAAAGCUUAUCCUUAUUAUGGAGUGUUGGGGCAAGUUCUUCCUGGUGUGCAGGGGGAGCGAGGGCCUCAUUCGUCUGGCCUUUUGGACUUGUGCUGAUGCUACUAGGGGGUCUUGGGAAGGGAUUCCUGUAAUGGUGAGAAAUGCUUGUGAGAGUAUUAAAAAAACCUCCUUUCACGUGUGUACUUGAUUUCUCAAAGUUAUCUGCAUCUGUGUUUGUGUAUAUACAAUGUUAAAACUGAAUGUUAAAUGCAGUGCUGUGCCUUGUUCUGUGCUAAAUAAAACGUACAUGUAAACCACAUAUAUGCCGUGUCAGCAUAUGGGUAUUUGAGGCAGAAUGGAAGGAUCUGAAGCUGAUAGUAAACUGCAUUAUAAGGAAAUAGCAUGUUACAGUGUCCAGCCACUGAUUUUUUUAUACAAGCAAGGUUGCCCAGGCAGCCUUGGAGUUGUCCUUUCCAAGCAGUUAAGAGCUAUUUUUGUAAAUUUCAUGUGCUUUUACCCUAGCUUUGAGAAUUAAAACAUUGAAUGCAUAGAGUCAUACUGCUGCUUUACUGAGAUGAUAAUGUUCUGCUUCAAAAAUAGUGACCAGUUUAUCUGUUUACAGAUCUGGCUGUACACAGCUGGAAUGGGCUUAUCCAAUUCUCUUCUUGGUUCUCACCUCAUCUAUGCAUGCUUCAGUUGAGUCACUGGGGGUUUGCACACAGAGGAGCUGGCCCCUUGCCUUGUUUUCCAGGUUUACCAGAGAGUUGCAACCCAGUUCUUAGCAUCUCCCACUUAAAAAAAAUGUGACAAUCUUCUGCUUCCGUGAAUUUUAGUAGGGGGAGAAAAAGACACAUGAAUUAGCAUCAGAAAUACUGUGCUGUGACAUGUCAAGUUUUUUCCAUCAAAUUAUUCAGUGGAAGGGUGGCAGAAGAGGGCCUUUGAAACUAGCACUGUUUUUUUGACAUGGAUCAGUAGUCACGCUGGGGUGAUUCACUGUGCCUUGUAUUUGUGUAAUCAAUUACUUUUCCCUUUAUGCAAAGGGAAUUGUUUGGGGGAGUUUGCCUCUCAGGCUAUGUGGCUAUUGAUGUGGUCAUUCGAGGUGGCAGAAAAAUGCAUCUCCAGAAAGAUACAUAAUCCUGCAGGAUGCUGCUGCAUGGGGUGGCGUGUGAAUCUCAUCUGAGGUCAGACUGCCUGCUGGGCGGAACGAGAGCUUGUCUGGCCAGUGCUCUCUGUAUAUGUACUGAGGGCUGUACCUCCUGGCAUACCUCAUCGUGGUCACAAACAGUCACGUUUUUCAUAACUGGGAAUUGCUUUAUUAUAUUACCAGAAAGAAGUAAGAGCACAAAGCAAUGGUUGCAAACUUCCAAUCACUGUAUCUGUAGAAGAGCAGAACAGUAACUCCUAACCCGGCUGUUGUGGGCAUGCAGGGACAGUGGGGUUAAAUUUUCUCUUCUCUUAGACUGCUGCUUGUGCAAGCUCACGCGCCUUUGUAAUUGCCUCCUGACUGGCAGCAGAGUGCUUGCUUCCCAGUGUCACAGUUACUGGUGUCUCCUGGCACCUAGCCAUCUGUCCCUUGCUGGCAAGGUGGUGCACUGGGAAUGGUACCAUGCCUACGGGUGUGACAGUAGCUGUGGCACAUAUAGCAAAUAAAAGGAGCCAAGGAGAAGUUAAACCAGAUGAUCUGUCAGUUAGGGAGAAUGAGCAAAAUCUGCCCUCAGCGUGGAGGGCUCUGAAGAAACAGGGUAGGAGACCAGUUAUCUGUUACCUCCUGUGGGCCCCAGGGAGUAAACACUGUGGAAAAAACUUGGCUUAAAGCUCUGAAGACUAAGUAAUUGCUGGAAGCUCUGGGCUAUUUAGGACAUAAGCAUGCAUUUAUAAGCACUGGAAGUACUGAAGAGAGUUUCUUCUGGUUUCAGUUAAUAAUAGGGCACGUUGUGUACAGUUUGUUUGCUUGAUUGGUUCAUUUUAUUGUGUGUAAAUACACUGUAGAAACAAUUUUGUCUUUUGUUCAGUGUUACUCAGCUGGUGUGUUUCUUGUCAAUCCAAUGAAUUACAGGGUAUAAGUAGCCUGCUCCAGUCUGUCUGUGAAACAAGGUCCAUUUAAAAUAAAGGCCCACAAGGGAUAUGGUGGGACUGCAGAAGAGUUAGAAGGAUGGUAAGCAGAGGAGGAGGCAGCAUGUGCAGCAGAAUGGAAACCUCCAGGCCAUGUGUGCCACAGGCAUAGCAACUCAGUGGCGAUGUGAGUUGCCUCAAUGAAAAAGGAGUUCUGCUCUCCCAUGCGUGGUAUGAAACUCAGCUCCGCUGAUCUUAGUAGAAAUAACAGGGGUUUGCAAUGGGGCAAAUGAGAGCAGAAUCUGGCCAACUGUUAAUAGCUUUUUGUGUUUAGGGCUGAAAUAAAGUGGCUGUGUAUGCAAAUAAUUGUGCAAGCAUGACUCCUAAGUGACUUAUAAGAGGAGAAUUCAAUAUUUAAUUGUUGGAAAUACAGACUGUUUGGCACAAAUCUCCUGGUUUGGCUGAGCUGUACUUGACCUGUGACAGAGAGAGCAAAGGUGAUUUUAAGUCCUGGGAUUGAAGGGGCCAGUGUGUAAUGUAACUCAAGGCAAAGUCAGCACGUUGGCUGUUUUGUAAUUACAGAUGCUUAUUUUGUGUGCAAACCCAGGUGGUUCAUUAGCUUUUAUUUCCAUUAUCUCAUCACAAUAUUUACGUGUGAAUCUGAGCUAUUUUACUUCACAGGUGUGAUAUGUAAGUAGAAUUAAAAAAAAGGGUUUGGUAAGAAGUUGGUUGUUUUGAUAUAAAGAUAUAUGGCUAGGAGUG
Molecule: long non-coding RNA, 8426 nt
Organism: Strigops habroptila (Kakapo)
Lineage: Eukaryota; Metazoa; Chordata; Aves; Psittaciformes; Psittacidae
Exons: 5
Source: RefSeq, a predicted model, not a curated record